GACAGAGGGGGCAAGCGUUGUCCGGAUUUACUGGGCGUAAAGAGCGCGCAGGCGGUCGUUCAAGUCGCGUGUGAAAGCCCCCGGCUCAACUGGGGAGGGUCACGCGAUACUGAUCGACUCGAAGGCAGGAGAGGGUAGUGGAAUUCCCGGUGUAGUGGUGAAAUGCGUAGAUAUCGGGAGGAACACCAGUGGCGAAGGCGACUACCUGGCCUGUUCCUGACGCUGAGGCGCGAAAGCUAGGGGAGCAAACGGG
This 253-nucleotide ribosomal RNA is filed under the name uncultured bacterium. RNAcentral describes it as "partial 16S ribosomal RNA". It matches the Rfam family "Bacterial small subunit ribosomal RNA", at positions 524 to 776 of the family's 1533-position model. The record is from RNAcentral.